CACAACAAAGUGAUUCAGUUAUACACACACACCCAUUCUCUUUCAGAUUCCUUUCCCACAGAGAUGAUCACAGAAUAGUGGGUAGAAUUCUUUGGGUUCUACAGCAGGUCCCAUCAUUGCUGGCUUUGGGGUGGGUGUUCAUUUUUCUCCCACCCUGCCUUUUUGGUUCAAACACCAUAGAAAGAAAAACAACAUCUGAUAUCUUCCAGAUCACAUUUCUGAGGCUUUCAAAGCGAACUUCCAUCUCCCAUUUGAUGACUGUCCAGGAAAACUGUCUCUCUGGUCAGACUGGGGACCAGUCAUCAAUGUGGGACCAGUCAUCAAUGUGGGAGAAAAGCUUGUGCUGAUUGGCUGGGUUUGGGUCACGUGCGCAGCUCUGCAACCAGAGCAGUGGGUUAUAGUGACUGGAGGGGUGGGGUGAGGGUGGGGAAACAGGACUGCAAAUCAGGCAGUGGUUAAACACACUAAAUGUUCUUUGUCCUUCCUGCAACCACCCAGCCAACCUUAGUGCCUAUUUAUUCCGUUUCCUAUACUCAUGUCUUUCGUCCUAUUCUUCCCAAUCCUGUUGCUGCCCCAGGUGGGAACAUCUGCUCUCUCUUAUCCCUGAAAAGGUCAUACAGGUUUAGGCGAAACAUCCCAGGACCAGUAGCUGUGGCUCCCCCACUGACCACUGGUAGGAAAUAACUUGGUCGCUAAGGGACUGCUGCAGAAAUCACUGUGGAGGAAAGAGUCGGUCCUGGAAGGAAAUUCAGCUGAGUGGAUAGAGGGGAAAAGGCUACUCUGAGUAUGAAAGAUCCAGAAUAUUUUAGAAAAUCAAGAGACACAUAGGUAAAAAGAACUGUGAAUGGGAUUGAGCAGAGAAGCAGACCGAUUCAAUGAAACUAUAAAGGAGAAAUGUUUUUAGGCAAUCAUCAGAUCUGAGGAAGAGGCAAGACUGCACGUUUACAAAUAAUUCAAACUGUCUCGAGCCUCUUUAUAAAAGUAACAGUAAAUAGGACAGAGAGGGAUAAAAAACCCUCUACUCCACCAUCACCUCUGAGAAAUGGGGAGCGGCUGCCAGGAAUAUUGUGUUAGGAAGGACUCAGAGGCGCAUUUGCUUGCCCAGAAAAGGAUGUUAUGAUUACAUGGAGAUGGGUGAUGUUAUGGCUAAGUGCAAGGAUACUGUUGGGCCUUACUUUAGAUUCCUAGAACAGCUGUUGACAACUUGCUGUUUUGCAGAUCAUAUUUGAAAAAUGAAGAUAGAAACCUAUGGCAAAUCCAUCUGUAAAGUGAAUAAUCUAAUUAACCCAUCCCCAGCUUUGUGUAAAUUGCAAUUAAGGUAGUGAGGGGGCUCAUUUACAAAUGGGAUGCACAAAGAGAGAAUUGUUUUCAAAGUAAAGGAAAACGUCUAAUGCUUAAAUACCUUACUAUGCAAUGACUGGUGGUGGCAAUGAGGUGGAGAGAGGAAUUUGGGGAUGUCUGUACUUCUGAGAGGGGUAGAGCCAGAAGGGAGAUGAGGCCAGGCAAUGGCAGAGGGUGACUUAGCCACAGUGAAUCAAAUUAGGGGUCUGGCGUGUUGAGUUGCCUUCCAGGAAACAGGCUGAUAGGCAGAUCAGUUAAUGCACUAGAAACCACUUCAACAAAGAUCAUUCAUUAAAUGAUAAUACAAUUAUCAUAUUACUGGACAACUUAUUAAAAGUGUUUGUAUUCUGGCACCUGUUUUGUCCAGGAUUUGUCACUCCUCAGAGGAAGGUCAACGUGUGUGUGUGUGUGACAUAUUCAGAUUUUAGACACUUGCUCAAUGAUUUCACAUGAAAUCAUGGGAAGAGAAAGAGAGAAAGAGAACAAGAGAGAGCAGGAGAGAGAGGGAGGGUGGGAGGGAGAAGGAGAGAGGGAAGGGGGGCAGGCUAUUAGUGCAUUGGCAUUAGAAAAAUAAAAUUUUUUUUUUUUGGUCACGCCUGGGUCACUUGGAUGUUCCUGCACCAGGGAUUCAACCCUUCCCACAGUGACCCAAGCUGCUGCAGUGACAAUGCUGGAUCCUUAACCUGCUGCAUCACAAGGGUACUCUCAGAACAUCUCAAAAGAAUGGACUGAAAGAUGACUAAACAAGUGAUCAAAGGAGUUAGUAGUCUGGGCUCUGCUUAACAGUAAUUGCUAGACCUUUUCUGAGCCAUUUUAUUUAUCUGAAUUUUUAAAUUUCCUCAUCUGUAAUACAGGGGGGAAAAUCCACAUUUCUCUCUAACUUGAAAAAUGCAUUGGGCGAAUUGUCAGAAGCAGCUGCUGGCCUCUCACUGCCCAUUAAACCCAGAGCACUUUAUCCAAAUGCUCAAUCUAUAGUUUGUGAAAAGUCCUCAUCUUUCUUAAGAUUUCUGUGGAUUGCAGAAUCUUACACUCUCAUGGGCCUACUGGGUUUCUAUCUCUUGUCCUCACU
Molecule: long non-coding RNA, 2410 nt
Filed under: Sus scrofa (pig)
Lineage: Eukaryota; Metazoa; Chordata; Mammalia; Artiodactyla; Suidae
Description: lncRNA (ENSSSCG00040022117.1)
Source: RNAcentral